Molecule: ribosomal RNA, 476 nt
Filed under: uncultured Alphaproteobacteria bacterium
Lineage: Bacteria; Pseudomonadati; Pseudomonadota; Alphaproteobacteria
Description: bacterial SSU rRNA
Rfam family: Bacterial small subunit ribosomal RNA
Source: RNAcentral
GCAAGCCUGAUCCAGCCAUGCCGCGUGUGUGAUGAAGGCCUUAGGGUCGUAAAGCACUUUCGCCAGAGAUGAUAAUGACAGUAUCUGGUAAAGAAACCCCGGCUAACUCCGUGCCAGCAGCCGCGGUAAUACGGAGGGGGUUAGCGUUGUUCGGAAUUACUGGGCGUAAAGCGCACGUAGGCGGACUAGUCAGUCAGAGGUGAAAUCCCAGGGCUCAACCCUGGAACUGCCUUUGAUACUGCUAGUCUUGAGUUCGAGAGAGGUGAGUGGAAUUCCGAGUGUAGAGGUGAAAUUCGUAGAUAUUCGGAGGAACACCAGUGGCGAAGGCGGCUCACUGGCUCGAUACUGACGCUGAGGUGCGAAAGUGUGGGGAGCAAACAGGAUUAGAUACCCUGGUAGUCCACACCGUAAACGAUGAAUGCCAGUCGUCGGGCAGUAUACUGUUCGGUGACACACCUAACGGAUUAAGCAUCCGC